Molecule: unclassified non-coding RNA, 988 nt
Filed under: Hevea brasiliensis (rubber tree)
Lineage: Eukaryota; Viridiplantae; Streptophyta; Magnoliopsida; Malpighiales; Euphorbiaceae
Source: RNAcentral
GGGAAAUCUUCAACACGAGCAGGUCUGUGAUGACUUUGCACAGAACUCAGAACUCUACCGACGAUCUUUCGUGCAUAGCCACCAAAGGCCACACCAGCAAUCAAAGCAUUCGGUGAAUGUAAGGUGCUCGGAAUUGUCUCGUAUCUUGAAGGCUCGUGUAUGGUUGUUGUUUGGAAUAAUCUCUCUUUUUUCAACCCUUCCACUGUGUGAAUAUUGGUACCACCAGCCAGUUGAAGGAAGCCUUUAGGCUUGUCGCCAGCAGAGGCCAAUUUUCGUGCAAAAGCAAUUGCAUCUCUCGUGGCACCUCGCCCAAUAUCUCCACUCAUUGGUCGACCAUCCAACUGCCAUAAGUUGACGCAGUGUAUGCUGGAUGAUUCCAUUAUAGAGUACAUAGCAUUCAUUGCAGAUAUGGUUGAAUCUCUUAAGUCUGGAAAACUAACUGCCACGAGCUUCAGAUUUGCAGUUGAGUUCCCCAACCCAGUCCAGAGUUCUCUAAAAACAGAAGGUUCCCUUCCACUGGUAUGAAUUUCUAAGGCAUCAACAUCAUCCCUUUCAAGAAGUUCAGCUGUAGCUAUAACAUCUCUCACAUACGUAAUAGCUCUUAUUUUGUCAUAUGGACAAACCGGAAGGCAGCGACCACAACCAUAACAACGCUCAGCCAAAACUCCGCCCUUUUGCAGUAUUGCAUUAGCAGGACACACUUUCUCACAAGGUCUCAUGCAAUCCCAGGGGCAAUCAUCCGGAUCAAAUUCAGCUUUACGGAAAUGAAGAUCUUCAUCAUCAUUAACACUAAUCAUUACCCAAGGCCUGCGUAUGGGCACAAGGGCUCUGGCUGCUUCUAUCCCUUCAUUUACAGCAUUCACCACUGACGCCUCAGCAGCGCAGUCAAUGCAAUCAACUCCGGCAAGUGUAUAAACCAGAGAAAGGUUCCUGAUAUCAACCAAAUCCUCAAAGCUAGCACCACAAAUAAGCUUGACCCAAUUUCCCU